CGAAGCCUGGACUCCGGUGCCCUGUGUCACCUGGAAGCCACUUUUUCCUGGCUUCUUUCCGCCGGGCCCGGGUAGCGAGUAGGAGCGGAGACACCGGAGGAGCUGGCUGCGGGCGCGGAUCGGCUGAAGGGCGGGCACUUUGUCACUCUCUGCCGUCCCUGGGGCGCCAGCCCCUGGAACUUCAUUUAAUCCUGCCCGUAGCCUGCGCAGGGGCAUGAUUAACCCCACUGUACUGAUGAAGAAGCUGCACACCGGGAUGAGAACGGACUCGCCCUGGGGCAGGCCCCUGGAAAGGGACACGGAAGCUUCCCCCUCUGUCCUUUCCCCGCGGGGUAGGAAGCUCACGCGGCUGGGUCUGUUAGGAAACAGGUGAUUCUGAAACACACUCUGCCCCCUUUCUAGGUUCCUUGUUUUGUUUUUUGUCAGCACCGACCUUAUGCCUCAAAUUCGAACAAUUUUUGCAGAUGAGCGUUUUGAAGUGGAAGCAGCCCUGGCUCACAGCUCUUUUUCUUGCAGCGCUUUCUGCCGAUGCAGAGCGAGUUGCCAGGCACCCUCGCGGGCCACACACUGCUUUCUCCCGGUGGAUGAGGUCGCCUGCAGACCCGGGCUGGGCCUUAUGGGCUGCCCAGGUGUAGAUUUCUUAAAAAGCCUCAUGGGACAUAGCACCAUUGCUGAAUGCCUGGUACAUAUAAGAAACCUGCCUGCAUGGGAGGCACUCUACAAACACAGUAUGUUACCUGAAAUCUGAGAACUAAAUGAGCCAGACUUUAAUUCUAAAUGGUUAAAAAAAAAAAAAAGAGCACUUUUCAUAACAUUAUUCUAU
RNAcentral lists this long non-coding RNA (823 nucleotides) under Vulpes vulpes (red fox). RNAcentral's name for it is "lncRNA (ENSVVUG00000002083.1)". The record is from RNAcentral. Lineage: Eukaryota; Metazoa; Chordata; Mammalia; Carnivora; Canidae.